GUCGAGAUCUCGAACUCAAAAAUUAAUCUUAAAAAUUAAAAGUAUGUACACAAACCAACACACCACAAAUAGAACUUGCAUUCACACAAAAUAGAUUUUUCUCUAAAUCAAGCAUAAUGAAUGUGGCGUAUUAAGCGAUUUCAAUGAUACUUUAACCUUACAAUACUAUAUACAAUUGAUAGUUCUAUAAAAAUACGUUCUAAGCAUAUUGUAACCCUGAAAAAUAAUAUGCAGCAUGCUAGCACAUGUUGGAGUCAAGAGUAUAAUUAUUUAAAAUUGCAAAGUGCGCUUUUUUCAAAAGCGUACAACUCAAGGUGUGAAUUGUUGAUCGAUAAUGUUCAUCAACAACAUGCUAUGUAAGCUUAUGUACUACUGCGGAUUUCGAUUUACCGUUUCAGCGCUUUAAUUUCCGGUAAUUGUUUUCCCGUUGAAACAUACACGUUUCUAACGGUCAAUGUCAAUGUUACUAAGUGAAGUCUAGUGGUCUUUGUCCGUUGUUUUCUUGUCCGUUGUUUAUCAUUUGUAAAUGUAACGGUUAUAUUCGUGUUUAUCUCGUCUUUGGCGACAUUUUGAUAUAUAAUUUACAAAGUUUUGUGGAUCAUUUCAUGUUUUUAUUGAUAUUUUGGAAAUUGUAGCGUAUAAAAGGCUUCAAAAUAAUUUACUGGCCUUUUAUACGCUACAAUUUCCAAAAUAUCAAUAAAAACAUGAAAUGAUCCACAAAGCUUCGUAAAUUAUAUAUCAAAAUGUUGCCAAUGACGAAAUAAAUACGAAUAUAACAGUUACAUUCACAAAUGAUAAACAACGGAUAAGAAAACAACGGACAAAGACC
Molecule: non-coding RNA, 829 nt
Organism: Paramuricea clavata
Lineage: Eukaryota; Metazoa; Cnidaria; Anthozoa; Malacalcyonacea; Plexauridae
Source: the annotation of a GenBank genome assembly